This 507-nucleotide ribosomal RNA is filed under the name Staphylococcus sp. Its description in RNAcentral is "bacterial SSU rRNA". It matches the Rfam family "Bacterial small subunit ribosomal RNA", at positions 22 to 511 of the family's 1533-position model. Lineage: Bacteria; Bacillati; Bacillota; Bacilli; Caryophanales; Staphylococcaceae. The record is from RNAcentral.
GCUCAGGAUGAACGCUGGCGGCGUGCCUAAUACAUGCAAGUCGAGCGAACAGAUAAGGAGCUUGCUCCUUUGACGUUAGCGGCGGACGGGUGAGUAACACGUGGAUAACCUACCUAUAAGACUGGGAUAACUUCGGGAAACCGGAGCUAAUACCGGAUAACAUAUUGAACCGCAUGGUUCAAUAGUGAAAGGCGGCUUUGCUGUCACUUAUAGAUGGAUCCGCGCCGUAUUAGCUAGUUGGUAAGGUAACGGCUUACCAAGGCAACGAUACGUAGCCGACCUGAGAGGGUGAUCGGCCACACUGGAACUGAGACACGGUCCAGACUCCUACGGGAGGCAGCAGUAGGGAAUCUUCCGCAAUGGGCGAAAGCCUGACGGAGCAACGCCGCGUGAGUGAUGAAGGUCUUCGGAUCGUAAAACUCUGUUAUCAGGGAAGAACAAAUGUGUAAGUAACUGUGCACAUCUUGACGGUACCUGAUCAGAAAGCCACGGCUAACUACGUGCCAG